RNAcentral lists this ribosomal RNA (253 nucleotides) under uncultured bacterium. RNAcentral's name for it is "partial 16S ribosomal RNA". It matches the Rfam family "Bacterial small subunit ribosomal RNA", at positions 524 to 776 of the family's 1533-position model. The record is from RNAcentral.
GACAGAGGGGGCAAGCGUUGCUCGGAAUCACUGGGCGUAAAGGGCGCGUAGGCGGGAUGGCAAGUCAGUCGUGAAAUCUCUCGGCUCAACCGAGAAACGUCGGCUGAUACUGCCGUUCUUGAGGGAUGCAGAGGAGACUGGAAUUCCCGGUGUAGCGGUGAAAUGUGUAGAGAUCGGGAGGAACACCGGUGGCGAAGGCGGGUCUCUGGGCAUCUCCUGACGCUGAGGAGCGAAAGCGUGGGGAGCGAACAGG